UACGAAGAGUGCUAGCGUUGUUCGGAAUUACUGGGCGUAAAGCGCGCGUAGGCGGCUAUACAAGUCAGAGGUGAAAUCCCCAGGCUCAACCUGGGAAUUGCCUUUGAAACUGUAUAGCUAGAGUGUUGGAGGGGAUAGCGGAAUUGCUAAUGUAGAGGUGAAAUUCGUAGAUAUUAGCAGGAACACCGGUGGCGAAGGCGGCUAUCUGGACAACAACUGACGCUGAGGCGCGGAAGCGUGGGGAUCAAACAGG
Molecule: ribosomal RNA, 253 nt
Filed under: uncultured bacterium
Lineage: Bacteria
Description: partial 16S ribosomal RNA
Rfam family: Bacterial small subunit ribosomal RNA
Source: RNAcentral